UGGGGAAUAUUGGACAAUGGGCGAAAGCCUGAUCCAGCUACGCCGCGUGUGUGACGAAGGCCUUAGGGUUGUAAAGCACUGUUGUGAGGGAAGAAGAUCUUCGGAUUUGACGGUACCUCAUGUAGCAAGCACCGGCUAACUCCGUGCCAGCAGCCGCGGUAAUACGGAGGGUGCAAGCGUUGCUCGGAAUUACUGGGCGUAAAGGGUGUGCAGGCGGUUUAUUAAGUCAGAUGUGAAAGCCCAGGGCUCAACCCUGGAACUGCAUCUGAAACUGGUAAACUUGAGGCAGAGAGAGGGAAGUGGAAUUCCUGGUGUAGAGGUGAAAUUCGUUGAUAUCAGGAGGAACACCAGCGGCGAAGGCGGCUUCCUGGCUCUGUUCUGACGCUGAGACACGAAAGCGUGGGGAGCAAACAGG
Molecule: ribosomal RNA, 415 nt
Filed under: uncultured bacterium
Lineage: Bacteria
Description: bacterial SSU rRNA
Rfam family: Bacterial small subunit ribosomal RNA
Source: RNAcentral